CAACUUUUUAAAAAAAGUUGCGUUUUGGGCUCAGGCAAAAUGCAAGUCCGAAACGCACUGAAUUUAUGGACAUCUGAGGUCCAUAAAUCAAAACGCGCUGUUGGCGUUUUGGACAUUAUUACCGUUGGACGUUGCAUUUACGAAAAUACCCCUAAUAUCUCACGCAAACUCACACAAACUCAUCAGUUCUCUCACACUCACCCAUCUCAUCUCUCUGCUCUUCACUCCGCACGCCCUCACCCCCACGCCUCCCAGCCUCGCUUGUAUUUCUGCGCUCUGCUCCAUGGUAGAGAUUUGCUACCAAAACACCAAGCAACACUGAUCUGCUACCAAAAACCACCAGUGGCAUGUUAAUGAACAGCAGGUGCAAAAACUUGUGAACAUGGGCUUUGUCGAGCUGGAUGUGAGAAGUGCUUUGCAAGUUGUUUUUUUGUUUUUGGUACUAGGUUUGUAGGCAUGCCUAAUCUAGAUAAGU
Long non-coding RNA from Quercus robur (English oak), 475 nucleotides. RefSeq lists it as uncharacterized. The transcript is spliced from 3 exons. The record is from RefSeq and is a predicted model, not a curated record. NCBI's taxonomy places the organism in Eukaryota, Viridiplantae, Streptophyta, Magnoliopsida, Fagales, Fagaceae.